AGGCAAUUUCCUUGUUAUCAUAACUGCAUCCAGAAGGCAAUAAUAAGUCCCAUACAAUAUCACACUAUUGGAUUUCAUAAUCAGAAUGCAAUGCAACAACUCAAGAAUUCAACUCUCUUUUUUCACUUCACACAACUUCUAUAAAAAUCGCAAUUAGUGGAUUCAUGUGUUUGCCUUUAAGCAUAUUUACUUCAGCAUUUAACCAAAAUACAUCUACCAUAUAAGGAUACUUAGGCAUAUAUAUUGAAAUUUUUGCAUCUCAAAUCAGUGGGAGAUUAUAUUAAAAUUUCACCAAAAAAACUGACUCUGAGUCUCAGACAUAUACACAUAAUCCAUUACUAAUACUCAAGUCCAAGUAACACAGCUUUAACUACAAAUAUAAUGGUGUCAAAUAGAAAACUGCAUGCUCAGCAAUAAUUCAGAUUUCUUACAGCUAAUGGUUCUUUGCACUUAUUAGAGUUAAACUAAUACACCACCUACAACUGUAAUAGUCUUCGUUUCAGAUUUUAGCUCCACCAGUCAAUGGUCAUACCAGAGCCAGGUUGCCUUUAAAACAUAAAUCCUGAAAUGUCAUUAGCGUGAGAACUGAAGCGCCCUCUCUCUUCAACUUUUUGCGAAUAAUAAUAAUGAUGAUAAUAAUAACUCCAGUUUGCGAUAUGUUCAAAAUGUUAUCCCUAUCCUUCCAAACGAAACUUUAUAGACUUCUUGGCCAUAUAUUUCACAUGAAAUACUCAGAAAGG
This 740-nucleotide unclassified non-coding RNA is filed under the name Hevea brasiliensis (rubber tree). Lineage: Eukaryota; Viridiplantae; Streptophyta; Magnoliopsida; Malpighiales; Euphorbiaceae. The record is from RNAcentral.